RNAcentral lists this non-coding RNA (29 nucleotides) under Callithrix jacchus (white-tufted-ear marmoset). RNAcentral also lists the same sequence under 1 other name. Lineage: Eukaryota; Metazoa; Chordata; Mammalia; Primates; Cebidae. The record is from RNAcentral.
UAACAGGUCACUGUCUUGUUCUGCUGUCU